This 2072-nucleotide ribosomal RNA is filed under the name human gut metagenome. RNAcentral's name for it is "bacterial LSU rRNA". It matches the Rfam family "Bacterial large subunit ribosomal RNA", at positions 828 to 2925 of the family's 2925-position model. The record is from RNAcentral.
UCCAAUCGAACUCGGAGAUAGCUGGUUCUCCUCGAAAUAGCUUUAGGGCUAGCCUUGAGGUAAAGUCUAAUGGAGGUAAAGCACUGAUUGGACGCGGGUCCCCAAAAGGAUACCAACUUCUAUCAAACUCAGAAUGCCAUAUAGAUAUACUCAGGAGUCAGACUAUGUGAGAUAAGUUUCAUAGUCAAAAGGGAAAGAGCCCAGACCGACAGCUAAGGUCCCAAAGUGUGUGUUAAGUGGAAAAGGAUGUUAGGUUUCUAAGACAACUAGGAUGUUGGCUCAGAAGCAGCCACUCAUUUAAAGAGUGCGUAACAGCUCACUAGUCGAGAGGUCUAGCGCCGAAAAUGUCCGGGGCUAAAACACACCACCGAAGCUACGGAAUUACCUAUGGUAAUUGGUAGAGGAGCAUUCUGUAAGGAUGAAGCACAAUUGAAAGAGAGUGUGGACGAAACAGAAGAGAGAAUGCCGGAAUGAGUAGCGAGAUAUAUGUGAGAAUCAUAUAGGUCGAAUGUCUAAGGUUUCCUGGGUAAAGCUGAUCUGCUCAGGGUAAGUCGGGACCUAAGGUGAGGGCGAGAGCCGUAAUCGAUGGACAACAGGUAGAAAUUCCUGUACUACGUAUAAUCAGAACUGUGGGGACGCAGGAGGAUAGGAAAACCGGAGAAUGGAAAUAUCCGGCUAAGUACAAAGGUGUGAGUGAUAGGCAAAUCCGUCACUAUUAGCUGAAGUACGAAUGGGAGCGAAGAAAAGUAGCGAAGUUUCUGAAUCCACACUGUCAAGAAAAGCCGCUAUUGCGUUAUACGUACCCGUACCGCAAACCGACACAGGUAGACGAGGAGAAAAUCCACAGACCGACGGGAGAAGUGUUGUUAAGGAACUCGGCAAAAUGACCCCGUAACUUAGGGAUAAGGGGAGCCAACGCAAGUUGGUCACAGAAAAGAGGCUCAAGCGACUGUUUAGCAAAAACAUAGGUCUAUGCGAAACCGUAAGGUGAUGUAUAUGGGCUGACACCUGCCCGGUGCUGGAAGGUCAAAAGGAGAGGUUAGCGUAAGCGAAGCUUUGAAUUCAAGCCCCAGUAAACGGCGGCCGUAACUAUAACGGUCCUAAGGUAGCGAAAUUCCUUGUCAGGUAAGUUCUGACCCGCACGAAAGGUGUAACGAUUUGAGCACUGUCUCGACAACACGCCCGGUGAAAUUGAAGAACCAGUGAAGAUACUGGUUACCCGCAACAGGACGGAAAGACCCCAUGGAGCUUUACUGCAGCUUAAUAUUGGGAUUCGGUAUUGUAUGUACAGGAUAGGAGGGAGACUAAGAAGCUAGCACGCCAGUGUUGGUGGAGUCGAUGGUGGGAUACCUCUCUUAUAAUACUGAAUUUCUAACCUACUUCCGUGAUCCGGAAGAGGGACAUUGUUAGGCGGGCAGUUUGACUGGGGCGGUCGCCUCCGAAAGAGUAACGGAGGCGCUCAAAGGUCUUCUCAGAAUGAUUGGAAACCAUUCAAAGAGUGUAAAGGCAAAAGAAGGCUUGACUGCGAGAGUGACAACUCGAGCAGGUACGAAAGUAGGACUUAGUGAUCCGGUGGUAACAAGUGGGAGUGCCAUCGCUUAACGGAUAAAAGCUACCCUGGGGAUAACAGGCUUAUCUCCCCCAAGAGUUCACAUCGACGGGGAGGUUUGGCACCUCGAUGUCGGCUCAUCGCAUCCUGGGGCUGUAGUAGGUCCCAAGGGUUGGGCUGUUCGCCCAUUAAAGCGGUACGCGAGCUGGGUUCAGAACGUCGUGAGACAGUUCGGUCCCUAUCCGUUGUGGGCGUAGGAAAUUUGAUAGGAGCUGUCCUUAGUACGAGAGGACCGGGAUGGACGAACCUCUGGUGAAUCUGUUGGUAACCAAUGCCACAGCAGAAUAGCCAAGUUUGGAACGGAUAAACGCUGAAGGCAUCUAAGCGUGAAGCCAACCUAAAGACUAGAUUUCCCAUGCGAAAGCAGUAAGACUCCUUGUAGACGACAAGGUUGAUAGGCCAGAGAUGUAAGCACAGUAAUGUGUUCAGUUGACUGGUACUAAUAAGUCGAGGGCUUGACCAA